GCUGGGGUCAGAGACACAUAGAUAUAUCCCUAUACAAAAACUCUGUGAGAAAACAAUGAGAUUAACUACCUUGAUUUUUGACAAAGAAAAAUAUAAUGCUGUAUUUAAAUGAAAUAAGUACUGCGUGCAACUAUUCUAGUAAGCUGAUUGACAUUAAAAAGUUAUUUUAAAACCUUUUUAAAAGUACUUUGGUGAAAUACUAUCUAAGUCUGUUUCAUUAUUGAGACUUUAUCAGUAGUUAAUUCAAAAUGUCUUUCCCAAAAUUAUAGCUAUUCAAAGAACAUCAUAGUGAAGACAUUUUUAAUAGUGUUUUUUCAAAUUUUUUUCAGGUUUAGAUUUUUGUUUUUUUCUGCUGCUUCAUGUUUUUGUUGAAGGAGUCAAUGGAGAUGUAGCACUGUGAUUACGCUCUUGACUACUGGGGAGCAGGAACCAAAGUUACUGUAAAGCCAGGUGAUUCCUCUCAGACUCUGUCCCUCCUCGUCCUCCGCCCCCAGCAGACAUCUGGUGACCCCCUGAACACAGCAGACCAACUCAGUCAAGAAGUCUGUCUGGCAACAGAUUUCCGUCCAAAGGGGGUUGUAAAUGGGAAAGGGGGUCCGGCCAACGUGAGCACUGAUGACGCUGUUCUGAAAAAGAACCAAACCUACUUUGAUGAAUUCAGUAGCAAAAACAUCCACUCCUGUGGGAUGAGCGGGAACAUCAGCACCAAUGAUGAAUGUGGAGGCUUUGAUCCAGAAAAAGCCAAGCUGAACUUCUACCUGCUGCUGAUGAACGGAGUCCGAGUGGUGUUCACCAAAGCUCUGGCCUUCAGCACCAUUCUCACCAUCAGAGGCCUGCUCUUCUGAAUCUGAGCCUUCUAGGCCACCAUACAGGCCAUGACAAAACCUGUUAAAUAAUUGUUUCUAUUACCUCAUUGGAACACAUUUACCCCAUUUAUCUUAGCAAAAUCGUUUACAGGUUGUGUCAAGAGUAAAAGAAAAGGCAGCAGCCUGUAAAAUUCUGAAUAUUAAGUGUAAACAGUUUUUUUUACUAAUAGAUAAAGAUCUGACGCUAUCGCAGAGAAAACCAGAAAUUUAAGUACAAAAUCAAACCCAGAUAAAAGUUACAAUUUAUAAAAUUGUCUUUAGUUUCUAAAUUUGACAACAAAAAAUGAGAAAUGGCCUCAUAACUAAAAAAAGUAACUUCCUUUUGAUCUUCUAAUUUUUCUUACAUUCUCAAUAAUAUUUUCUAUCAAUUUGUUAUGCUUUACUAUGUAUAUGCUGGUGUUAUAUUAAAAGAUGUGUCUCAAAUUAUAUUCUAAAUAGAAAAUGUUUCAAGACACAUUUUGAAUUCAAAAUUGUAAAUACAAUUCAAAUUGGUUUGAAUAUCAGUGAAGAACAAUCAUAUUUAUGUAAAUAAAUGCAAAUAUCCACAAUAUAUUUAGAAAAACAGAAAAGACUUAUUAAGAUAUGUUUACCAAAUAUACUCACUGCAAUGUUUUUAUUUGUUUCUGCUUCAUUGUUCUACAUUGUAACGAACAAAUUAAAAUGGAUAAUAGUGAGUUUUGUUCACUUAAGUUAUGGACAAGUUGCAUGGAAAUAUUUAUUCAUUAAAUGUCUUUUUUUUCAGAAAUUACAAU
Xiphophorus maculatus (southern platyfish) is the source of this 1618-nucleotide long non-coding RNA. RefSeq lists it as uncharacterized. Lineage: Eukaryota; Metazoa; Chordata; Actinopteri; Cyprinodontiformes; Poeciliidae. The transcript has 3 exons. The record is from RefSeq and is a predicted model, not a curated record.